This 59-nucleotide ribosomal RNA is filed under the name Chaenotheca gracillima. RNAcentral describes it as "partial 28S ribosomal RNA". It matches the Rfam family "Eukaryotic large subunit ribosomal RNA", at positions 1 to 59 of the family's 3401-position model. Lineage: Eukaryota; Fungi; Ascomycota; Coniocybomycetes; Coniocybales; Coniocybaceae. The record is from RNAcentral. RNAcentral also lists the same sequence under 1 other name.
UGACCUCGGAUCAGGUGGGGAUACCCGCUGAACUUAAGCAUAUCAAUAAGCGGAGGGAA